CUCUCCUUUCCCUCCCAGAACUGAGGAUCAGAGAAUUCAGGGCUGGAAGGAAGGUCUUGGGGCCAAAGCCUUGGUCUUUCGAAGGUAGUUCUUGCAUGUGGAGUGGUGGAAUGGGGUCUGGAGUUUGGGCCACACUGAGAUGCCAUUUCUCUGAUCAUCAUACCUGAUGCACAAUCCAAGGAGACGGCCCAGGGUCAUCUCUUCUGCCUGAAUAGCUGAGAGGAGUCCUGCAAUCUUAGAGCCAUUUUCCCAAGAAACCUGACCUAGAACAUACUCUCUCUUAAGAUUCAAAUAAACUGUUGUCAAGAACUGUAAAA
RNAcentral lists this long non-coding RNA (317 nucleotides) under Homo sapiens (human). Its description in RNAcentral is "non-protein coding lnc-FGF18-4:1". Lineage: Eukaryota; Metazoa; Chordata; Mammalia; Primates; Hominidae. The record is from RNAcentral.